AUUAGAUUCAAAAAGUACCAGUUUCUUAUGUAAAGUUAGUGGAACAAAUGGCCAAUGACUUAGAAGCCUGAGGGGGUAGUUCCGGCAUAUUUAUUUCGUUGCCAAGGCAAUGCCAGGUGUUUGUGACCACAUGGGAGAAUGACAAGAAUGGGCAGCCUAGUGGCUGCUCAGGUGAGCAUAGGUCCACAGACCAAGAAGUAUCUCUGCUCCUAACCACUCUUUGUGUGUGCAUGAAGGCUAAUUGUUCAAGUCCAGGGGAAACUGGUGAAACAGGCAAUCCUCAUCCUCCUGGCCCCCAAUCUUCGCAGCAUCAGAAACACCUGCACUUGGGGUCAGGUCUGGGGAGAAGCAGCAGCUGGACAUAUUGCUCAAGCACCUCUCAGGCCUUGCCCCAUCACUGAAGUCAUAUAAUCCUUCUGUUCUUGGUGGAUUGGGUGAGUUAUAAGUCUUUUCAAGCUUUAAUAUUCUAUGCAUAUAAUAUUUUUAUAAAAUAGCUCCAUACAUGGAUGAAUU
Callithrix jacchus (white-tufted-ear marmoset) is the source of this 513-nucleotide non-coding RNA. Lineage: Eukaryota; Metazoa; Chordata; Mammalia; Primates; Cebidae. The record is from RefSeq and is a predicted model, not a curated record.